This 163-nucleotide ribosomal RNA is filed under the name uncultured bacterium. RNAcentral's name for it is "partial 16S ribosomal RNA". It matches the Rfam family "Bacterial small subunit ribosomal RNA", at positions 393 to 539 of the family's 1533-position model. The record is from RNAcentral.
AACGCCGCGUGAGCGAUGAAGGCCUUCGGGUCGUAAAGCUCUGUUGUUAGGGAAGAACAAGUACCGUUCGAAUAGGGCGGUACCUUGACGGUACCUAACCAGAAAGCCACGGCUAACUACGUGCCAGCCACUGCGGUGACUGAGCGGGCUGGCAAGGCGCAUA